AGAGGGUGAGUACUCCGGAACCAGUUUCGAUAGCAGUCUUAAUGUUUCCAGGUCCUCAAGAAUAUUGCUUUGUUUGUUGGUUACCAGUAGCAGGUACAAAGCUUCAAUUGGUUGAUAUACGUAGCGGACGUUCUCUGUCUCAAUGUACGUGUGUUGCUUUCCAAUUCCAACCAAUUUUGGAAAUGCUGCAAGUAACCCUUCAAUCCUUAUCCGAGUCAUAUCCACAAACUGUCUCGAAACAAGAGCUUUCCCUGAUUUGCUGAUGAUAGAAGCCGCAAGAACCACCAUGGUGAAUGUCUGGGAUCGAAAUUGCCACUCUAUUCAGCUCGAUACCGGAGGGGGAGACGACGGAGGCCGGGCUGGGAUGCCGUCGAGUACGAGCGGUGCGAGUUGCGG
RNAcentral lists this unclassified non-coding RNA (396 nucleotides) under Hevea brasiliensis (rubber tree). Lineage: Eukaryota; Viridiplantae; Streptophyta; Magnoliopsida; Malpighiales; Euphorbiaceae. The record is from RNAcentral.